Manis pentadactyla (Chinese pangolin) is the source of this 1133-nucleotide long non-coding RNA. RefSeq lists it as uncharacterized. The transcript is spliced from 4 exons. The record is from RefSeq and is a predicted model, not a curated record. NCBI's taxonomy places the organism in Eukaryota, Metazoa, Chordata, Mammalia, Pholidota, Manidae.
UUAAAAAACUAGGAAAGGGCUUCUCUUCGGUCAAAUCAUCUUUUGGAAAACGCCUCCCGGUUUUUCCCUUCCCAGAAAAUCUCAUGAGUGUAUGUUAUUAAUACCUGAAGAACCCUUCCCCUCACCUUUUCUUUCCUUUCAUGAGAUAUAACAUGGCUUUGAAAUUUUAGGUGAUGAAGUUUUAAUCAUUCAAGAUAAAUUGGAAGCCAUAAAAGCAAGGUAUAAAGACAUUACUAAGCUGAGCACGGACAUCGCCAAGACCCUGGACCAUGCGCUGCAGCUGGCACAGUGGCUGCUCUCCGCACUGAGGAGCUCUGUACCUGGCUGGAUGAAGUGCAGGUGGAACUGCUUUCAUCUGAAACUCAGGUCCUUCAGGGAGAAGCGGCAAGCCAAGCCCAAGCGAGACAAAAUGAGCUGAAGAAGGAAGCCCAGAGCAACAAAACCUUACUGGACGCCCUUAAUGAAGUGACCAGUGCUUUACUGGAACUGGUGCCCUGGAAGGCCAGGGAAGGGCUUGAGAAAAUGGUGGCUGAGGACAAUGACCGCUACCGCCUGGUAAGAGACGCCGUCACUCAGAAGGUGGAGGAGAUGGGCGCUGCCCUUCUGAGGUCACAGCAGCAAGAAAAUUGGAGCUGGGCACAUCAUCUGGCUGGAAAGACAUUUCCCACCCACCCUUGCAGCCUGGUCUGGCCACAGACAUCAGUUCUUUCUACUGCCAAGCAGAUGAUAACAGUGCCCUGUGUGAGGAGGGAGUAAUAAGGAAGGAAGAAAUCUGAGUCCCUGCAUGACAGUGUGGAGCAGAGAUAUCCCAACAACCUGCAUUGUUUCUCUAAGGAUUCUCAUGUGAGAGAGAAAUAAAUUAAUGUUUUUCUUUAAGCCAAGUUAUUUGAGAAGCUCUUUGUUGUAGCAGCUUAUGUUUGCACUUAAAGACUUUCAUGUAGGUAUUUUCAUAUUUAUUAUGCAAUCUCAUAUCUAUUAUAUAUAUAUAUGUACACACACAAACCUCAUAAAUAUAAUAGAGCAGUGACUAUGCCUGUACCCUUCACUCAUAAUAAAUAAAACAUUACCAUCAUGCUUGUGGUUCCUAUUACUCUAUACCACUCACAAUUCUUCCUUCCCUCAACCUCCACAGU